GAAAGACCGAAACCCACCCCUGCCACCGCUAGAGUCGCGGCUCUGUUGAUGACUUCUGGGAAGUGUUGGAAACAGGGCCUUAAAAAAAGAAUGGCGUCCAUUUACAUAAUGCUUUGUUUGCAUUUUGCAAGUUUCUUUCGGUUGAACCUACAGAAAUCCCACAGUGUCGUUUUAGUCGUGGCAGUCUCGACAGGCAUUUAGGACAAUGGUGUGCUCCUUUUGGGAACGCAUUUAGUCAGGGUUGCUGAGUUAGUGCUUGAAUUCUUGCGAUUUCCCCCCACACUCUUCACUUUCCCGCUUCUGCGUUUCGGCCUUUCCCCUGUUUCCCCUUUUGGUGCGAUCGCCUCGCCCCGCUCCCCUUGGGGGCGGCCCCUGUCGGGCCCCGCCAUCUUGGAAGGCCUUUCUUGCCGGUUCGCCACCGCACGUCCCUCUCGCCAAAGAAAGGUCGCUUGGGAGGCUCGUAUGAAUUCACUUAGGCCCAGAGAGAUGAAGUGACUAAUUCAAGGUCACACAGUGGAGGAUGGAUUCCAGACCUUCUGAUUUCCUUAUUGGUGAUCUUAACUUCUCUGACAGCUCCACUUAACCAUCUACACUUGGAUGAUGCCCAGAUCUUUCUAUGGACCACAGUAUCCAACUGCUCAUGUAGACAACAUCAAAAGGAUGUUUUGCAUACUCGGCAAAAUGCAGCCUCCUGCUCUUCCCCACUUGCUCGUCAUCCAUUGUCCUCAUCACAUGUGAAAAGUGGUCUUGUCACUGUAAAUAUGGUGGUUGAGAAUGUGACUCUGAUAUGAUGUGAUGUGAUAUGGUAUAUGAUUCUGGAGCGAGCCUGCUGGGGCCUGAAUUCGGACAUAACCACUUACUGUGUGUGACCUUGGUUCUCUAAGCACAUGCUAUUGGAUAAUCCUGCCUGGAUCAGUCCUUUCCUCACCUUGGACUUCACCUUCUUUUCCUCUUUAUUCUAUCUGCUAAAGUUGCCAGCCAGCCUCUUUCACCCCAGAGGGGGAUCCGGCUCCUGAAAUCCCAGCCUAUGCUAGUGCCUCAUGCUUCCUGGGGGCUUGCCAAGAAAGUCAAAGGGCCUGUUGUUAUAUAUUUACCAGCACACCACUGGGCAAAUUGCCUUAGGCUGAGGAGAGACCAGAGACCAGAUUGGACUCUUUGGAAAGAUUCCCAGAAGAGGGAGGGACUCAUCGAUGGAAAGACGCUUCCAUCAAUGGAGAGAGGAGGGAUGGCUUGAAGACCUGAUGCCAUGCCCCACUGAAGCAGAAUGCCAGCAGCAGCUGUGGCCCCUGCUCCUAGGAGCUGUGCCACCCACCCUACACAUGCACACACCCACACCAACCCCAGGGCCCAGGCCUCAGCCUAGGCUGGGGGGGGUUGUGCAGGAGUGGGGCAGGCAGUCGGGGCCCAGCUCAUGGUGCAGAGCGUGGGCUGGAGAGACCGGGUGCCAUCUUGGUCGCCCACAUCAGCAGAGGUGACUGCGUGGUAACCAGUGACCCAAGGGCGAGUGUGGAACAGGAAACAGGAUGGGGCAGAGGCAAGAAGAAAAAAAGUCCAUAAUACCCCUAGUGAGCCCCAAGACUCCACUUGACCAUUACUUGAGCAUCACCAUCCUAGGUUGACUUUUUUUCCCCCUGCACCCCAGCAUUUGCUCUUGGCCACUUAAGGGACAGAUCAGAGAGGCCCAUAGGAAACCCAGGUAAGGACUCUGUUUCUUUUUUUCUUUUAGAGGCGAAAAGAAAAUGCUUCCUUUAAAAACUAAAACCACUCAAGUGGCCAACUGCAGGGUCAGGGGCCUAUUGCAGUGCUCAAUUUUGAAUCGUCCUGGGCAUUAUUGGAGUCUUGGGUUUAUUGGGAGGAGAAUUUAGGUCCUGCUCAAAAAAGUGAUUCAAAGAGCAUCACAAACUAACAUUAGGUCUGUGACUAGAGAAAGGAGUCAGCAGUCACUAUCAGCACCUUGGAGAAUUCAAGAUCUUUGCUUAGCAGAAGAAACCCAAACAAAAUACCCUGGGUGCUUCACCUGCCAUUCUAAGCCAACAGGCAUGGAAAGCUGUGUUCUGGGAUGUUAACAGCACGCACCGGUAUUUUCUCACUGCAUGAAAUUGGACUACAUACUCUUACCUUCCCAUCUGCAUUGCGAUGGUAUCAGUAAGAGUAUAGAUUUCUUUUCAGUUUUUAAAAAUCAAUUUUACAUAAAAAUAUGCAUGUGCCUAUAUUUACACACAUCUAUAUUUACGUACAAUUGUCAAAGUUUUAAAGGCUGGGGUUUAUAUCUUUGCCCAUUCCCCUCCCCCCCACAACCCUAAUAGAAAGGUUUUUCAUUUUGCUUAAAAAAACCAAAACAACCAAAAAGACUUUAUAGCUCUUAACAGUCACGCUGGUGGAUCAGUGAAUGAGAGGGUAGGUUGGCAAAUGAGGGCUGCCGAUCACCCGCGUAGGGAAGAGGAUUAGCUGCCUUGGGCUGAGUUUGCUGGUCCUGAAUUUACAGUUUUGGUUAGAGGCCUAUCUGGCACGCCGAUUCGGUCUACCUUGAGCUUUGAAAAGUAAUGUCUAACCCUGGUGUCAGUUUAUCACAAGUGCAUUAAAAAUAGAUCAAAUUCCACAUUUCUAUAUGCAAUCAAAUUGAAAAGGACCAGACAAACAGUGCAAAGGUCAAAUAAUUACUGUUUUAUAUUGGGACAGUACAUUUCAACCAAAAGACAAAAAUGCAGUUUAACUUAAACACAGAAAAUAAUGGCAUCUCUCAGAUGCCUUAUUUUGAAAUCAAACAAAUACACAAAUUCUGUUCCCCUCCCUCCCCCGAUGCAAGCCCACAAGCUUUGCCCAAAGUCUUGAGUUUUCGAUGCCUUAAGGCAUCUGGCAUCUUGGACUUGUGAGGCGCUUGAAUGUAGCAAUUAAAAUGCUUGAGAGGUCUCGUGAAUGGCAUUCGAAAGGGACCUCAAAGUGCAGAUACAUCUUUUCAAACAUGUUACAGGCUGAGCUGGCUCUUUCAACACUAUCACUCUGCUUAAAUUCAGGAAGCAGGCUUUAAAAAUGCAAAAGGCAUACAAGUUGUAUUUCAGUGCAAAUCUUCAGCUGGUCAUUGGAAAAGAUUCCAAUUAAAAAAAAAUCCUUUGUGUCACCUGCCCCUCCCCCCACCCAAAGCUGAAAUGAAGGAAAAA
Prionailurus viverrinus (fishing cat) is the source of this 3158-nucleotide long non-coding RNA. RefSeq lists it as uncharacterized. The record is from RefSeq and is a predicted model, not a curated record. Lineage: Eukaryota; Metazoa; Chordata; Mammalia; Carnivora; Felidae. The transcript has 9 exons.